RNAcentral lists this ribosomal RNA (379 nucleotides) under uncultured eukaryote. RNAcentral describes it as "partial 18S ribosomal RNA". It matches the Rfam family "Eukaryotic small subunit ribosomal RNA", at positions 592 to 975 of the family's 1831-position model. The record is from RNAcentral.
CAAUAGCGUAUAUUAAAGUUGUUGCGGUUAAAAAGCUCGUAGUUGGAUUUCUGCUGAGAACGACCGGUCCGCCCUUUGGGUGUGUAUCUGGCUCUUUCUUGGCAUCUUCUUGGUGAACGUUGCUGCACUUGACUGUGUGGAGCGCUACCCAGGACUUUUACUUUGAGGAAAUUAGAGUGUUUCAAGCAGGCAAACGCCUUGAAUACAUUAGCAUGGAAUAAUAAGAUAGGACCUCGGUUCUAUUUUGUUGGUUUCUAGAGCUGAGGUAAUGGUUAAUAGGGAUAGUUGGGGGCAUUCGUAUUUAACUGUCAGAGGUGAAAUUCUUGGAUUUGUUAAAGACGAGCAACUGCGAAAGCAUUUGCCAUGGAUGCGCUCUUUG